Cavia porcellus (domestic guinea pig) is the source of this 867-nucleotide long non-coding RNA. RefSeq lists it as uncharacterized. The transcript is spliced from 3 exons. Lineage: Eukaryota; Metazoa; Chordata; Mammalia; Rodentia; Caviidae. The record is from RefSeq and is a predicted model, not a curated record.
CUGCAGGGGAUGAGGAGGUUAAGAUGAGUAAAGUGAUGUAGUCAAAGACAGUAGAAUCAGGACUGGAAUGCAAAGCACGGUCACCUGACUUUUGGAAAACUGAGGACACAGAGCGAGUAAUCAGAAAAGGAAGAGACAGUGUUUACUCACUUGAAAGUUUCAUUUCAAGAAGUAGUUGAGGAAAGAGAGAAAGAAGACUAAUAGAAGAAAAUUUAAAAGAAGAAGUGUGAUCCUACAGUAAACUGAUCCACGUUUAUCAGGACAUGUGUACUACAGAAGCGCACUACUUUAACAAGAACGAAAAAUUAGCUCUUCCAUCACAACUUCCAGCUCUCCUAUGAUGGUAGCUUGCCUCAAACCGCAUUCUACCACAGCUGCUGGGACGCUAAUCGCCAGUCUAUACAGGAAGUCAAAAUAUCACCAUAAAGACAACAACUUGGAUAAAAUUGUAUUUUCACAGCACUAAAUGAUUGAAACUUUUGGAACUUGGGGUAAGACUGAACUCAAAGAAAAGUAUUUGAAUAUUAACUGAUAUUUGCUCACAAUGUAGGUGAGUUCAGCUAAGGACCAUACUCAUCUCACUGAAUGCAGAGUGCAGAUUUCGUCAGCACAUGGAACGCUUUCCUCUUCACUCUAUCCAAGGACUGCAAAACCUUCUCUAAUUAAACAAUGAAAUAAUAUUGAAACAGUUUGAACAUGUAUCAAAUUUAUUUAGAAGUUUUAGGUUUCUCAGACUUUUUCCUGCUCCUCUGUCACAAUCCUCUUCUUGGACACUACUGGUUACAUAAAGGAGUCUCUCACUGUCUUUCAAAUCACUCAGCAUGAAAAUAUGUUGUAUUCAGAUCUAACCUUCGUAAGCCUAUAUAU